ACGGAGUAGUGUUCAACACCGAGUACUAACUAAAGUGUUGACCGACAGCGCAUAUGAGCGAACGAAGAGAGCUCAUUACGCAAAUAAAAGUGCCAACACCAAUGACGUAGAACUGGGUGUUGAACAUUACUUAGUGGCGAACGGGUGAGUAACGCGUAGACAACCUGCCUUCUAGAUGGGGACAACACUGCGAAAGUGGUGCUAAUACCGAAUGUUGUAUUGAGCCUGCAUGGGCUCGAUACUAAAGGUGGCCUCUAUUUAUAAGCUAUCACUAGAAGAUGGGUCUGCGUCUGAUUAGCUAGUUGGUGAGGUAAUGGCUCACCAAGGCGAUGAUCAGUAGCCGGUCUGAGAGGAUGAACGGCCACACUGGGACUGAGACACGGCCCAGACUCCUACGGGAGGCAGCAGUGGGGAAUCUUCCGCAAUGGACGAAAGUCUGACGGAGCAACGCCGCGUGAGUGAAGAAGGUUUUCGGAUCGUAAAGCUCUGUCUUUGAGGACGAAUGUGUCUAAUGUGAAUAAUGUUAGAUAAUGACGGUACUCGAGGAGGAAGCCACGGCUAACUACGUGCCAGCAGCCGCGGUAAUACGUAGGUGGCAAGCGUUGUCCGGAAUUAUUGGGCGUAAAGCGCGCGCAGGCGGGAUAUUAAGUCUGUU
RNAcentral lists this ribosomal RNA (655 nucleotides) under uncultured Bacillota bacterium. Its description in RNAcentral is "bacterial SSU rRNA". It matches the Rfam family "Bacterial small subunit ribosomal RNA", at positions 66 to 593 of the family's 1533-position model. Lineage: Bacteria; Bacillati; Bacillota. The record is from RNAcentral.